ACCCAGGCGCCCCACUGACAGGAAAAUCAAUGGGCAGAUCUGAUGAUAUCCAGCUCACAUUGGAAAAAUCUAACUGCAAAACCAUUUGACAUCCCAUGGUUUGGAGUACGAGUCAAAAUUUACAUCCAUGCUGAAUUUUACUAAAACUAUAACCUCAUUUGUGGCAAUUAGUUUCAUGUAACAUCCAGUUUCUACUAAAGGACAUUCUGGAAGGUAUUCUGACAAAGAGUGGAGCAUUACUUGUUUUUAUCUGACCGCUAAUAAUCAAAUUCCAGCCAGUCUGCAAGCUUUGGUCAAAAAUAAGUGUCACUUAAUUGUCUAAUAAAUUAUUUUCUAUGG
This is a long non-coding RNA of Ailuropoda melanoleuca (giant panda), 339 nucleotides long. RefSeq lists it as uncharacterized. NCBI's taxonomy places the organism in Eukaryota, Metazoa, Chordata, Mammalia, Carnivora, Ursidae. The record is from RefSeq and is a predicted model, not a curated record. The transcript has 3 exons.